AUUGAACGCUGGCGGCAGGCCUAACACAUGCAAGUCGAACGGUAACAGGAAGAAUCUUUCUUCUUUGCUGACGAGUGGCGGACGGGUGAGUAAUGUCUGGCAAACUGUCUGAUGGAGGGGGAUAACUACUGGAAACGGUAGCUAAUACCGCAUAACGUCGCAAGACCAAAAAGGGUGGCCUUCGGGCCUCUUGCCAUCGUAUGUGCCCAGAUGGGAUUAGCUAGGAGGUGGGGUAACGGUUCACCUAGGCGACGAUCCCUAGCUGGUCUGAGAGGAUGACCAGCCACACUGGAACUGAGACACGGUCCAGACUCCUACGGGAGGCAGCAGUGGGGAAUAUUGGACAAUGGGCGCAAGCAUGAUGCAGCCAUGCCGCGUGUAUGAAGAAGGCCUUCGGGUUGUAAAGUACUUUCAGCGGGGAGGAAGGGAGUAAAGUUAAUACCUUGGCUCAUUGACGUUACCCGCAGAAGAAGCACCGGCUAACUCCGUG
RNAcentral lists this ribosomal RNA (490 nucleotides) under uncultured bacterium. Its description in RNAcentral is "partial 16S ribosomal RNA". It matches the Rfam family "Bacterial small subunit ribosomal RNA", at positions 30 to 507 of the family's 1533-position model. The record is from RNAcentral.